AUGGAUGAUGUAGAGGUCUCACUCUUCCGCACUACUCGCUCGAUGACGCGCAGCUCGUCACUCCCGCCGCCCGUCAGGCGCGCCACUGGCGCCGUGGUCAGUGGCGUCUUCGGCGGCGAUUUCGUCCCACCCUUGCUCUGCCCUUUCUCAGAAUCGGUGUCUGACAUGAAGCUAACUACCUCCCGGUCGCGCUGCCAUGAUCCGCAACUGCCGCUCUGUCCAGCUACUGCGUCUCAUAGCUCAAGCCAACGACCGGGAGAGAAAAAAGGAAAGGAGUGGCGCGCGCUAAGUGCGGCCCUCCACUACAUGUGUGCGUGCGCAGGCUAUCUAGCGCAUCACUAUCGGUUCAUGGCAGCUCAAUCGUUGAUCUGGCAUAGUGGCAUGGCACUUGUUGAGCUGCUAUUGCUUAGUUCGGCCGUGAUCAGCAAAUUAAUCAAAGGCUAUCCAUCCGCGAAGGGCAAAACACCACAACUUGUGGUUACUUGUAUCCACCCGUGCUCUCAAGCCCCCAAACUUAUGAUAGACCACGCACCCAUUGUCAACGAGAUGUCUGCAGUUACUUCACCGCCCCAUAAUAAACCAUCAUUGCUAGGUCCAAACCAUGCGUCAUUGCUGGCAGUGGACAAGCACGGUUAUCACCGGUUCUGCGCUAAAUCAGCAGUGAUAAUGAGCAAGCGGAGGCCAGCAUUGAUGUCGCGAUGUGACCGGAGGGAGGCUGGCGCUGACCAAUGCGACCUCUCGGGAGCCGCCGCUUCAAUGCGGACGCAGGUUCUCGAGGAACAACUUUGGCCGCUACGCAACAUUGUAGCGGCUAACAGGCCCUUCGCAUGGCCUGGCCGCGACUUUAUAAGCCACGCUCCGGCGAUGGGCAAGUCCACAUCACAUCCUUGUCCUCCUCCCCCUUCCCUCCCAUCUCCCUCCACAUCUCUAGUGAUGGGUAAAAGUCUUGGGCAUCGGUGCUGGCAGGCGGUUCCAGAGAGGGAUCGUGGCGACGGCGCGCUCGAACUUCGGAGCCAUCGUCCUCACUGGUGGGUGGCUCCUCGACGAAGGUGGAGAUCGUCAUCAUCUCCGGCAACGAGGAGGACCAGCUGUUGCCGCUGCAACAGUCCGCGUCGGUGCUGCCGGGCCAGGUCUACGCCGCCACCGAUGCAGAGUUCGAGGAGCAGAUGGAGCAGAUGGUUCGUCGCUCUGUCGUCCACGUCAACGGCCCAGAUCCGCCAUCGGGGCACUCCUCCCCGUGAAGCCGAAGUCGGCAUCCCCUGCACACUCUACGUCACGGUGCAACCGCGCGUCCAACUCGGACGGUGCUUUAAGGAGGAGCGGUUGUCGCCACCGCCCCGACCGUACCUUGGUAGCGGUGGGGCUGGCGGCAGCUUCUCCUCGUCGUCUCGGAGCGCCAUGAUGCCGCGGAAGUACGCUGACGGGGGCAGCGCCGACGAGACAGGCGCAACGCCGCGCGUCGGUCAAACCCACGCUCUCGGUGGCCAUGGCUGCACUGCGCACGAUGCAAGAGGAAGCAGAGAUGAUCACCCGCUAGCGUCAGCAACUGACGGGAAGCCCUUCCGCAACGUCAUCACACCUUCCGUCACCCGAAGCCCUACUCCGACAACUCCGACGCCAGAUCGGGCCACGAUGAUGGAGGAGGAGCUGCCGGCCAGCCCGACAUGGCCUACGAGGUCUCCGUCAACUGGGCAGUCCGUCUUCCAUGGCACAACAGCUAGCUUCUUCUUCCCCGGAAGAAAGAAAGAAGCCCUCCUCUCUCCAUCGGUACAACAAGAUAUACUGUAUGAUGCAUGCCUGCAUGGUGACAGUAUAUUUGCAUACACAUAUAUCGAGAUGCUGCCUCCAACGGCAAAGGAUAUAAGCUUCGGAUCAGCAUUCGCUAAUGGUGGCACUGCUAAUGGUGGCACUGCUACUGGUGGCAAUGGUUCCGGUUCUCAGGAUGCGUCAAGCGGCAAGCCGCAGCAGGAGCUGCCAGCGCUGACACAUCAGUAUGCGGAACAAUACGUGUAUGCAUACCCAGCAGCACCGGCAUACGGCGGCCCUCCAAAGCCCCCGCCGGCGUAUCGCUAUGGCUAUGGCUAUGGUGGAGGUGGUUCUGGUGGGUACGGCUACCCCGAGCCCGAUGCUGGUGCUGGUGGCUAUAGCUACCACGGCGGUGGCGGCUGUGGCUAUCCUCCGACUGCAGGAGGAGGAGGCGGCGGCGGUCAUGGGGUCAGCAACGAAUACGGAGGGCCGCCGCAGCAGAAGCCGCACAUGAGUGCGGGGUGGCUAGCCGCCGGAGCUGCUACCGCCUAUGGAGCGUACCAGCACCACAUGCGCAAACACCACGGAGGAGGAGGGCACGGGUACAGGCAUGGGCACGGAGGAUACGACGACGGCUCUACUUGUGGCGGCGACGGUUACGGUUAUGGCUGCCGUGGUUGUGCCCCCCAUAUGCAUAUGCGAGGCGAGUUCGAGCACCAAGAGCACACCAAUAUCAAAUACUCUGUUCAUCCCGACGCCAGCCAACAAGCGGGGUUUAAUAUGGACGAACUCCAAGCUCAUCACUGUACGACCCGUCAAAAGCCCGUCAAAAGCAAUGAUGAUGGAGAAUCAAAAACCCGUCAAAAGCCCGUCACUAAUAUGUUUGUGACGGAAACCAAAAGCAGGGAAGCGAACGGGGUCGGUGAAAAGCUUUUUCUCCUCCCAGAUCCGCUGAGAAACCCCAUGCUCCACUUGCUUCUUCGGCCGUCUACUUCAUCGACGGCGCCCGUUUCUUCCAACUCCAUUCCCCCCAACCGAGGAUGGAGGCGCGAUGUGGCGAGCCGAGGGAGAUUCGGCCAUCACUCUGCCAAAAAAAUAUAA
This 2847-nucleotide ribosomal RNA is filed under the name Triticum aestivum (bread wheat). RNAcentral's name for it is "partial small subunit ribosomal RNA". The record is from RNAcentral. Lineage: Eukaryota; Viridiplantae; Streptophyta; Magnoliopsida; Poales; Poaceae.